UCUCUCUCUCCUGUUUCAAGAUGGGGACUUUGUGUUGCGCCCAAGUGAUUCCACCAAGGGCGGAUUGGACAACAUCAACAGAGAAAACAACAAACAAGUGGGGAAAAUUGAUUUCAAACCGAAAUCGAUUUGUCAAGAAAAAUGCAAGUCAAUCCACGAGAAAACAGGUAAGACGACACACACAAGAAAUGUUCCAGUUGUUUUCGUUCAUUUGAAAACUGGACUUCAAAAGAACAAAAAAAAAAAAAAAAAGAGUUUGAAACAUAACGAAGAUUUGGAAAAGGGAAAAAAAAAAAAACAGGCUCUUCCAAUUGCUGAUGAGCAUUUUUCUUACUGAUUAUUCUAAUUCCGAGAAGUGAUUUUUCGUUUGUAUUUCGGCUUGUUUCUUCUUUGGAUAACAAUGUUGUUCCACGAAAAAAAAAACGAAACUAAAUUGUUAUCCAAAGAUUUUUCCGACAUGUGCGUGUGUGUGUAUUUAAGACCUACAUAAUAAACGGAUUUGACUACAUUCCCCUCCCCCCUUGCCCCCCUCCCCCUCCACAUGAAAAAAUGUCGAUGCAAUUGCCAACUUGUUGUCUCCUGAAAAAACUAUUCGUCUCUGUUUGAUUUCGUGUUUUUUUUUUUCCCUACGUUUUUCUUUUUUAUUUCGUUCGACACCGACAAAGAGGUAAAGUCAACAAACCUACGAUUUCAAAAGAAAACAAAAAUGAACAAGACCUUUGAAAAAAAAAAAAACUUUACUUUCUUCUUGAUUCAUUUUUCUUUUUUUUCUCUAUGAAUGAUGAAAAUAAACGAAACAUUUCUCUUCCGAAA
Daphnia carinata is the source of this 813-nucleotide long non-coding RNA. RefSeq lists it as uncharacterized. The transcript has 2 exons. The record is from RefSeq and is a predicted model, not a curated record. Lineage: Eukaryota; Metazoa; Arthropoda; Branchiopoda; Diplostraca; Daphniidae.